AUGGCCGUCAAGGUCGUCGCCGGGAAGACCACUGCUGCUCAGCCCAAGACCGUGGGGCGGCGGCUGUGGCGCUUGGCGCGCACCGUCGUCUACCUUCUGCGCCGCGGCGUGCUGUCGUCCGGGCGUAAGCUCGCCAUGGACCUCCACCGCAGCAGGGACGCCAGCAAGGCCCUCGGCGGCUUCGUCAACUUCCACCGCCGCGCGGCGGCGCGCUCUCGCUCCUCCUCCGUCGCUGCAAAGUGCCUUGACGACGAAGCCGCCGGCUGUUACAACAGCUACGACGCGGCAGACAUCGCGAGGGUGUUCGAGAUGCUCAACGACAGCGGGCACCUCUUCCACGACGAGGACGGGCUCGCGGCGGCGACACCUUCUUCCGCCGCGUGGGCGUCGCCGGCCUUCGGGCGCAGCGCGGCUACGGGCCAGCUGCGCAUCAUCGACUCACCGUUCACGGCGGGCGAGCACCAGCAAGUGGACAGGAAAGCCGACGAGUUCAUCAGGAGGUUCUACCAGCAACUGCGCGCACAGAAGAGCGUCUCCGCCACGCCGGAAAACUACGGCCACGUCCCAAGGCCGGUCGCCGCUUGA
Molecule: ribosomal RNA, 585 nt
Filed under: Triticum aestivum (bread wheat)
Lineage: Eukaryota; Viridiplantae; Streptophyta; Magnoliopsida; Poales; Poaceae
Description: partial small subunit ribosomal RNA
Source: RNAcentral